This 1521-nucleotide ribosomal RNA is filed under the name Salmonella enterica. RNAcentral describes it as "bacterial SSU rRNA". It matches the Rfam family "Bacterial small subunit ribosomal RNA". Lineage: Bacteria; Pseudomonadati; Pseudomonadota; Gammaproteobacteria; Enterobacterales; Enterobacteriaceae. RNAcentral also lists the same sequence under 2 other names. The record is from RNAcentral.
AGAGUUUGAUCAUGGCUCAGAUUGAACGCUGGCGGCAGGCCUAACACAUGCAAGUCGAACGGUAACAGGAAGCAGCUUGCUGCUUUGCUGACGAGUGGCGGACGGGUGAGUAAUGUCUGGGAAACUGCCUGAUGGAGGGGGAUAACUACUGGAAACGGUGGCUAAUACCGCAUAACGUCGCAAGACCAAAGAGGGGGACCUUCGGGCCUCUUGCCAUCAGAUGUGCCCAGAUGGGAUUAGCUUGUUGGUGAGGUAACGGCUCACCAAGGCGACGAUCCCUAGCUGGUCUGAGAGGAUGACCAGCCACACUGGAACUGAGACACGGUCCAGACUCCUACGGGAGGCAGCAGUGGGGAAUAUUGCACAAUGGGCGCAAGCCUGAUGCAGCCAUGCCGCGUGUAUGAAGAAGGCCUUCGGGUUGUAAAGUACUUUCAGCGGGGAGGAAGGUGUUGUGGUUAAUAACCGCAGCAAUUGACGUUACCCGCAGAAGAAGCACCGGCUAACUCCGUGCCAGCAGCCGCGGUAAUACGGAGGGUGCAAGCGUUAAUCGGAAUUACUGGGCGUAAAGCGCACGCAGGCGGUCUGUCAAGUCGGAUGUGAAAUCCCCGGGCUCAACCUGGGAACUGCAUUCGAAACUGGCAGGCUUGAGUCUUGUAGAGGGGGGUAGAAUUCCAGGUGUAGCGGUGAAAUGCGUAGAGAUCUGGAGGAAUACCGGUGGCGAAGGCGGCCCCCUGGACAAAGACUGACGCUCAGGUGCGAAAGCGUGGGGAGCAAACAGGAUUAGAUACCCUGGUAGUCCACGCCGUAAACGAUGUCUACUUGGAGGUUGUGCCCUUGAGGCGUGGCUUCCGGAGCUAACGCGUUAAGUAGACCGCCUGGGGAGUACGGCCGCAAGGUUAAAACUCAAAUGAAUUGACGGGGGCCCGCACAAGCGGUGGAGCAUGUGGUUUAAUUCGAUGCAACGCGAAGAACCUUACCUGGUCUUGACAUCCACGGAAGUUUUCAGAGAUGGAAUGUGCCUUCGGGAACCGUGAGACAGGUGCUGCAUGGCUGUCGUCAGCUCGUGUUGUGAAAUGUUGGGUUAAGUCCCGCAACGAGCGCAACCCUUAUCCUUUGUUGCCAGCGAUUAGGUCGGGAACUCAAAGGAGACUGCCAGUGAUAAACUGGAGGAAGGUGGGGAUGACGUCAAGUCAUCAUGGCCCUUACGACCAGGGCUACACACGUGCUACAAUGGCGCAUACAAAGAGAAGCGACCUCGCGAGAGCAAGCGGACCUCAUAAAGUGCGUCGUAGUCCGGAUUGGAGUCUGCAACUCGACUCCAUGAAGUCGGAAUCGCUAGUAAUCGUGGAUCAGAAUGCCACGGUGAAUACGUUCCCGGGCCUUGUACACACCGCCCGUCACACCAUGGGAGUGGGUUGCAAAAGAAGUAGGUAGCUUAACCUUCGGGAGGGCGCUUACCACUUUGUGAUUCAUGACUGGGGUGAAGUCGUAACAAGGUAACCGUAGGGGAACCUGCGGUUG